GUAGGUGAACCUGCGGAAGGAUCAUUAAUAUAUAUAAGGCCACGGGGCAAAGCUCUCCGAAAGGACAGUUGGUGGAUGUUCGGUUCCACCGGCUGGGGCAGACUGGAGAACAAUGUCAGCGAUACACUGCCUGACCUCUUUUCGACCUCUGCUAUCGAGCUUGCUGUCUGAACCCUACCCUUGCUUUUUGCGCACCUAUUGUUUCCUCGGCAGGCUUGCCUGCCAGUAGGACCCUCUUAAACCCUUUGUAAUUGCAGUCAGCGUCAGAAACAACGUAAUCGUUACAACUUUCAACAACGGAUCUCUUGGUUCUG
This 314-nucleotide unclassified non-coding RNA is filed under the name rhizosphere metagenome. Its description in RNAcentral is "partial ribosomal RNA internal transcribed spacer region". The record is from RNAcentral.